AAUCAACGCUGGCGGCGUGCCUCAGACAUGCAAGUCGAACGAUUAAAGCUCUCUUCGGAGAGUGUAUAGAGUGGCGCACGGGUGAGUAACACGUAAGUAAUCUACCCUCGAGUGGGGAAUAACAACCGGAAACGGUUGCUAAUACCGCAUAAUGCAGCGGCACCGCAAGGUGACAGUUGUUAAAGAUUUAUCGCUUGAGGAGGAGCUUGCGGCAGAUUAGCUAGUUGGUAGGGUAACGGCUUACCAAGGCUACGAUCUGUAACCGGUCUAAGAGGACGGUCGGUCACACUGACACUGAAUAACGGGUCAGACUCCUACGGGAGGCAGCAGUCGGGAAUUUUGGGCAAUGGGCGAAAGCCUGACCCAGCAACGCCGCGUGAAGGAUGAAGUAUUUCGGUAUGUAAACUUCGAAAGAAUAGGAAGAAUUAAUGGCGGUACUAUUUAUAAGGUCCGGCUAACUACGUG
RNAcentral lists this ribosomal RNA (465 nucleotides) under uncultured bacterium. RNAcentral's name for it is "bacterial SSU rRNA". It matches the Rfam family "Bacterial small subunit ribosomal RNA", at positions 32 to 507 of the family's 1533-position model. The record is from RNAcentral.